UACGUAGGGUGCAAGCGUUGCCCGGAAUUAUUGGGCGUAAAGAGCUCGUAGGCGGUUUGUCGCGUCUGCGUGUGAAAACCUGGGGCUUAACCCCGGGCCUGCAGUGGGUACGGGCAGACUAGAGUGUGGUAGGGGAGACUGGAAUUCCUGGUGUAGCGAUGAAAUGCGCAGAUAUCAGGAGGAACACCGGUGGCGAAGGCGGGUCUCUGGGCCAUAACUGACGCUGAGGAGCGAAAGCGUGGGGAGCGAACAGG
RNAcentral lists this ribosomal RNA (254 nucleotides) under uncultured bacterium. Its description in RNAcentral is "partial 16S ribosomal RNA". It matches the Rfam family "Bacterial small subunit ribosomal RNA", at positions 524 to 776 of the family's 1533-position model. The record is from RNAcentral.